GAGUUUGAUCGUGGCUCAGAUUGAACGCUGGCGGCAUGCCUUACACAUGCAAGUCGAACGGCAGCACGGGAGCUUGCUCCUGGUGGCGAGUGGCGAACGGGUGAGUAAUGCAUCGGAACGUAUCCUGGAGUGGGGGAUAACGUAGCGAAAGUUACGCUAAUACCGCAUAUUCUGUGAGCAGGAAAGCGGGGGACCUUCGGGCCUCGCACUCUUGGAGCGGCCGAUGUCGGAUUAGCUAGUUGGUGAGGUAAAGGCUCACCAAGGCGACGAUCCGUAGCAGGUCUGAGAGGAUGAUCUGCCACACUGGAACUGAGACACGGUCCAGACUCCUACGGGAGGCAGCAGUGGGAAUUUUGGACAAUGGGGGCAACCCUGAUCCAGCCAUGCCGCGUGAGUGAAGAAGGCCUCGGUUGUAA
This 416-nucleotide ribosomal RNA is filed under the name bacterium enrichment culture clone ALO1_GLFRUDD03F5KHM. RNAcentral's name for it is "bacterial SSU rRNA". It matches the Rfam family "Bacterial small subunit ribosomal RNA", at positions 9 to 428 of the family's 1533-position model. The record is from RNAcentral.